CAGCAGCCGCGGUAAUACGUAGGUGGCAAGCGUUGUCCGGAAUUAUUGGGCGUAAAGGGCUCGCAGGCGGUUUCUUAAGUCUGAUGUGAAAGCCCCCGGCUCAACCGGGGAGGGUCAUUGGAAACUGGGAAACUUGAGUGCAGAAGAGGAGAGUGGAAUUCCACGUGUAGCGGUGAAAUGCGUAGAGAUGUGGAGGAACACCAGUGGCGAAGGCGACUCUCUGGUCUGUAACCGACGCUGAGGAGCGAAAGCGUGGGGAGCGAACAGGAUUAGAUACCCGCGUAGUCCCUGUCUCUUAUAC
RNAcentral lists this ribosomal RNA (301 nucleotides) under uncultured bacterium. RNAcentral's name for it is "partial 16S ribosomal RNA". It matches the Rfam family "Bacterial small subunit ribosomal RNA", at positions 509 to 807 of the family's 1533-position model. The record is from RNAcentral.